AGAGUUUGAUCCUGGCUCAGGACGAACGCUGGCGGCGUGCUUAACACAUGCAAGUCGAACGGAAGGGCCCCUUUGGGGGUGCUCGAGUGGCGAACGGGUGAGUAACACGUGGGUGAUCUGCCCUGCACUUUGGGAUAAGCCUGGGAAACUGGGUCUAAUACCGGAUAGGACCAUUCCAUGCAUGUGGGGUGGUGGAAAGC
RNAcentral lists this ribosomal RNA (200 nucleotides) under uncultured bacterium. Its description in RNAcentral is "partial 16S ribosomal RNA". It matches the Rfam family "Bacterial small subunit ribosomal RNA", at positions 8 to 208 of the family's 1533-position model. The record is from RNAcentral.